This 465-nucleotide ribosomal RNA is filed under the name uncultured bacterium. RNAcentral's name for it is "partial 16S ribosomal RNA". It matches the Rfam family "Bacterial small subunit ribosomal RNA", at positions 338 to 795 of the family's 1533-position model. The record is from RNAcentral.
CCUACGGGGGGCUGCAGUGGGGAAUAUUGCGCAAUGGGCGAAAGCCUGACGCAGCGACGCCGCGUGAGGGAUGAAGGUCCUCGGAUCGUACACCUCUGUCAGCAGGGAAGAACGGUCACUGUGCUAAUCAGCAGUGAAUUGACGUUACCUGCAAAGGAAGCACCGGCUAACUCCGUGCCAGCAGCCGCGGUAAUACGGAGGGUGCGAGCGUUAAUCGGAAUUACUGGGCGUAAAGCGCUCGUAGGCGGUAUGUCAAGUCAAGGGUGAAAUCCCCGCGCUCAACUUGGGAACUGCCUUUGAAACUGGCAAACUGGAGUGUGUGAGAGGAUAGUGGAAGUCCAGGUGUAGGAGUGAAAUCCGUAGAUAUCUGGAGGAACAUCAGUGGCGAAGGCGACUAUCUGGCACAUAACUGACGCUGAGGAGCGAAAGCGUGGGUAGCAAACAGGAUUAGAUACCCGGGUAGUC